Molecule: ribosomal RNA, 467 nt
Filed under: uncultured bacterium
Lineage: Bacteria
Description: partial 16S ribosomal RNA
Rfam family: Bacterial small subunit ribosomal RNA
Source: RNAcentral
GACGAACGCUGGCGGCGUGCUUAACACAUGCAAGUCGAACGGAAAGACCCUGCUUUUGUGGGGUGCUCGAGCGGCGAACGGGUGAGUAACACGUGAGUAACCUGCCCUUGACUUUGGGAUAACUUCAGGAAACUGGGGCUAAUACCGGAUAGGAGCUCCUGCUGCAUGGUGGGGGUUGGAAAGUUUCGGCGGUUGGGGAUGGACUCGCGGCUUAUCAGCUUGUUGGUGGGUAGUGGCUUACCAAGGCUUUGACGGGUAGCCGGCCUGAGAGGGUGACCGGCCACAUUGGGACUGAGAUACGGCCCAGACUCCUACGGGAGGCAGCAGUGGGGAAUAUUGCACAAUGGGCGGAAGCCUGAUGCAGCAACGCCGCGUGCGGGAUGACGGCCUUCGGGUUGUAAACCGCUUUCGCCUGUGACGAAGCGUGAGUGACGGUAAUGGGUAAAGAAGCACCGGCUAACUACGUG